This is a small nucleolar RNA of Diceros bicornis minor, 220 nucleotides long. RefSeq annotates it as small nucleolar RNA U3. NCBI's taxonomy places the organism in Eukaryota, Metazoa, Chordata, Mammalia, Perissodactyla, Rhinocerotidae. The record is from RefSeq and is a predicted model, not a curated record. The transcript has a single exon.
AAAACUAUACUUUUAGGGACAUUUCUAUGGUAUGUUACUAGAGAAGUGUUUCUGAAUGUGUAGGGUACUAGAAACCAUGAUGAUGAUUUUCACGAAAAAAUGUUUUCUUUUGAGCAUGAGGCUGGCUUGUGGUGUUCCCUGGUGAUAGCCGCUACUUUCCUCGAGGACUGUUCUCUUUUCCUUUGGGAAAGUGAGAGGCAGAGGACACAGGCUGAGUGGU